GGGUACAGGUCAGGUAUGCUGCUAGGCAUCUUCCAAUGCACAGAAAAGCCCCACAACAAAGAAUUAUCUGGCCCUGAAUGCCAGUAGUGCCAAGGUUCAGUGUCUUCAUCUGUUUGAGCUGCUGUAAUAAAAUAGCAUAGACUGGAUAGUUUAUAAAUAACAGAAAUUCAUUUCUCACAGUUCUGGAGGCCAGGAAGUCCAAGAUCAAGGUGCCAGCAGAUUUGAUGUCUGGUGAGGGAUACUUCCUGGUUCAUAAAUAGCCAUCUUCUGUUUUUGUCUUCACAUGAUGGAACGGCCAAAAGCCACUGAAGAGAUUUAAGCAGAUAUGAAUUACAUUUUUUGAAAAACACUCCAGCUGCUCAAUGGAGAAUGGAUUCUGUGAAGGCUUGAAUAAGAGUGACAGUACUAGAGAUGGGCAUGGAAAGAGGAGGUGGGACUAACAGAGCAGUGAAUCACUCCCCACAAAACAGCAAAACAGGAGGGAACUGAGUUAUUUGUUGGCAGCUCAAGACACUGGAGAAGAUGACGGGCCAGGAAGUCGAAAGAAGGUGAGAGGUUGAGGAGAGAAGAGGGGAGCUGGGGAGAAGCUCUGGCCACGUGGAAACCGGUAGAGCCUCCAGAAGACUGCAACCAAGGAGGAAUUCCUUGUGGCAAGAAAUGUCUGAUGUUGAAUGUUAGAUGGUUUUCUGCUCUGUGCUGGGAUGAUACAACCUGACUCAACUCUUCAGUUGAUUGUUCCCUACUAACAGCACCCGGGGUUAGUGUUGCUUUGGUUGAAAGGAAGCAUGAAAAAGUUCUAUGAUUUCAUUUUUUUUUUUUUACAUCCAACUCUUUAAUCCAUUUAGAAUUUAUUUUGAUAUAAAGAAUGAGGUGGAACAUUAGCUUAAUUUUUCUCCUGAAGGUUAGCCAAUGAUCUGACCAUUUUUUAAAUGAUUUUAAAUGCCACCUCGACAUUAUAUUAAAUUAUACUAAUUGCUCAAGUAUACUUUGGUCUAUGCUUGUCUGGAAGAGACAUUCCAAUGUUCCCUCUCUCUUUUAGCUUUAAUAAUAAGCUUUCAAAUUCAUCUGGACUCAUGAUUCUUCUAAAUCAUUACUAUGUCUCCCAACUUCUUUUGCUGCUAGCUAUGACCAUUGAGAUAGAAGCAGGAAUGAUGUAUGUAGCUUUCAGGAUGGUCCUGAAUAAGAGGGGCCAUGCUCCUUUUCACCCCUUUUCCUCCUUUCUGACAACUGUGAUGUAAAUAAAAAGAACUCUGGCAGCCAUCUUGGACCAUGA
Molecule: long non-coding RNA, 1273 nt
Organism: Pongo pygmaeus (Bornean orangutan)
Lineage: Eukaryota; Metazoa; Chordata; Mammalia; Primates; Hominidae
Exons: 3
Source: RefSeq, a predicted model, not a curated record